GGCGCGGUAGACGAAUCGGGAAAGUCACCUGGUUUUCACCCAGGGCACAUGCGGGUUCGAAUCCCGUCCGCGCUAC
This 76-nucleotide transfer RNA is filed under the name Virgisporangium aurantiacum. Its description in RNAcentral is "tRNA-Glu". It matches the Rfam family "tRNA". From Rfam's summary of the family: Transfer RNA (tRNA) molecules are approximately 80 nucleotides in length. The record is from RNAcentral. Lineage: Bacteria; Bacillati; Actinomycetota; Actinomycetes; Micromonosporales; Micromonosporaceae.